This 269-nucleotide ribosomal RNA is filed under the name uncultured bacterium. Its description in RNAcentral is "partial 16S ribosomal RNA". It matches the Rfam family "Bacterial small subunit ribosomal RNA", at positions 334 to 618 of the family's 1533-position model. The record is from RNAcentral.
UUCGCCUACGGGGGGCAGCAGUGGGGAAUAUCGGGCAAUGGACGCAAGUCUGACCCAGCAACGCCGCGUGAAGGAAGAAGGCUUUCGGGUUGUAAACUUCUUUUAAGGGGGAAGAGCAGAAGACGGUACCCCUUGAAUAAGCCACGGCUAACUACGUGCCAGCAGCCGCGGUAAUACGUAGGUGGCAAGCGUUGUCCGGAAUUACUGGGUGUAAAGGGAGCGCAGGCGGGAAGCCAAGUCAGCUGUGAAAACUACGGGCUUAACUUGUA